UUAAUAGCAUUAUAAAAGAUAUUAAUUUUUUGCCAUUAGAUCUUAUUUAAUGAUUGAAAAUAAAAUUAUCUGUUACUUUUUAUGACAAUAUUACCCUCGCAUUUAUAUCCUAUUUUCUAUCUACGCGUUUCUCAAAUAUUUUCCUUCUCACGCGUAAUAUCCGCACCAGUCAAUUCUUUCACAACGUAAUAUCCGUGAAUUUCUCAAAUAUCUCAUUAAUCCACCUAUCAUUAUAGUAAAUAGAAUAGAUACGAUGACAUGUAGCAAGCAUAUAGAAAGCCACGUAUCAGCUUCUGACAUAAAGUUCAUAAAGGGUUUUUCUUAAAAAAUCUAAUUUUAUUUUCCCUAAAGUAUUAUUUCCUUAAAAAAUCUAAUUUUAUUUUUCCUAAAGUAGAAAAUCUAUAUUUGAGUUUGACACGGAGAUUUUCUAUAUAGUAAAAGAUAUUAUUUUCUUAAAAAAUCUAUUUUUUUUUCUAAAAUAAAAAAUCUAUAUUUGAGCUUGACACGUGACAAACAUAUAGAGCGCCACGUGUCAACUUUUCACAUAGGGUUCAUUAAGGGUUCUACUUUAGUAUAUAGUAAUAGAUUAGUAAUAAAUUAGUAAUAUAUAGCAUUAAAAAUUCAUGUCUGCGAUGGACCCAUAGAGCCUGCUAUCCACUAUCCACCGUGAAGACCCCUUAACUGCUACGUGCCUGGCGGCGCGCCAUUUAGAAUAUUGGUUUUAAUUGCUUUUUUCAACUUUUUUCCAACUACUAUAUGAUUAGCUUCUCAUUCGUUUUUUAUCCAGUAUAUUGUCCCACUGAUGAACAAUGGUUCUAAGAAGAAUUCUUAUCUUCUUUGGAGUAUUAUAAUUAUUAUGCUAAUUUUCAAAUAGGAUAUGCUGGUUAAUAUGAAUCAAAUUAAAAUUGUGGGCCUUUUACAUAAUUUGGUUGUUUAUUGUAGACUUUGGUGCUUAAUGGGCCCCAUUUUCUAGGCCUUACAUCUCUGUCAAUCCUUAUGAACUAUAUUAGUAUAGUCACCUACCAGUACUUUCCCAACUUCUACGCCUUUCCUGAUUUUAUCUUUCCUAUUGUGACUUUGUUUUGUUUUGUGAGAUAACGGGGGGCUAUUUAACCAACCAGCUUUCUUUUCCUGCAAGGUUUUGGAUGUUGAUGAAAUUACAUGGGAUUUGUUGUCCCUGCUUCUCACCUUCACCUGUGCCUAGAUUAGUCGCCUCUUCUUUUCUCUUCUAGCCAUGGAUUGACACUAUUUUCCUUUCUCUCUUACUCUCUAUUCAACAUAGUCUGCCCUUGUCUCUCAGGCUGCUGUAAUUGCAAACCCUUUUCGCCAUCCCGAUCUGCUGCCAUGCUUUCUUUCAUCUUUUUUCUAUCCCCCGCCACAAGUAGUAUUUUCUCCUCCCAGCAUGCCAGUGCUGCUCUAACAGUUCCU
RNAcentral lists this long non-coding RNA (1428 nucleotides) under Ananas comosus (pineapple). RNAcentral describes it as "long non-coding RNA (ACOM_LNC042928)". Lineage: Eukaryota; Viridiplantae; Streptophyta; Magnoliopsida; Poales; Bromeliaceae. The record is from RNAcentral.